This 468-nucleotide ribosomal RNA is filed under the name uncultured bacterium. RNAcentral describes it as "partial 16S ribosomal RNA". It matches the Rfam family "Bacterial small subunit ribosomal RNA", at positions 28 to 507 of the family's 1533-position model. The record is from RNAcentral.
GACGAACGCUGGCGGCGUGCUUAAUACAUGCAAGUCGAGCGGAAAGGCCCUGCUUUUGUUGGGUGCUCGUGUGGCGCACGGGUGAGUAACACGUGAGUAACCUGCCCUUGACUUUCGGAUAACUUCAGGGAACUCGGGCUAUUAUCGGGUAUGAGCUCCUGAUGCAUGGUGUGGAUUGGAGAGUUCCGGCGGUUGUGGAUGGACUCGCUGCUUAUCAGCUUGUUGGUGGGGUAGUGGAUUACAAAGGCUUUGACGGAUAGCCCGCCUGAGAGGGUGAACGGGGACAAUGGGACUGCGAUACGGAGCAGAAGCCUACGGGAGGCAGUAGUCGAGAACAUUGCACAACGACCGGAAGCCUGAGGUGGCAAUGUUGGGUGCGUGAUAACCGCCUACGGGGUGAAAACAGAUGUCGACGUUAAUAAAGACUUAGUGACGGUAAUGGGUAAAAAAGCACCGGCUAACUACGUG